GGGUUGUGAGGUUAAGCGACUAAGCGUACACGGUGGAUGCCCUGGCAGUCAGAGGCGAUGAAGGACGUGCUAAUCUGCGAUAAGCGUCGGUAAGGUGAUAUGAACCGUUAUAACCGGCGAUUUCCGAAUGGGGAAACCCAGUGUGAUUCGUCACACUAUCAUUAACUGAAUCCAUAGGUUAAUGAGGCGAACCGGGGGAACUGAAACAUCUAAGUACCCCGAGGAAAAGAAAUCAACCGAGAUUCCCCCAGUAGCGGCGAGCGAACGGGGAGGAGCCCAGAGCCUGAAUCAGUGUGUGUGUUAGUGGAAGCGUUUGGAAAGGCGCGCGAUACAGGGUGACAGCCCCGUACACAAAAAUGCACAUGCUGUGAGCUCGAUGAGUAGGG
This 386-nucleotide ribosomal RNA is filed under the name Escherichia coli. RNAcentral describes it as "partial 23S ribosomal RNA". It matches the Rfam family "Bacterial large subunit ribosomal RNA", at positions 1 to 417 of the family's 2925-position model. The record is from RNAcentral. Lineage: Bacteria; Pseudomonadati; Pseudomonadota; Gammaproteobacteria; Enterobacterales; Enterobacteriaceae.